Molecule: ribosomal RNA, 253 nt
Filed under: uncultured bacterium
Lineage: Bacteria
Description: partial 16S ribosomal RNA
Rfam family: Bacterial small subunit ribosomal RNA
Source: RNAcentral
UACGUAGGGUGCGAGCGUUGUUCGGAAUUACUGGGCGUAAAGCGCUUGUAGGUGGCUCUGCAAGUCAGAUGUGAAAGCCUGGGGCUCAACCCCAGAAGUGCAUCUGAAACUGCAGAGCUUGAGUAUGGGAGAGGGUGACGGAAUUCCUGGUGUAGUGGUGAAAUACGUAGAUAUCAGGAGGAACAUCGGUGGCGAAGGCGGUUGCCUGGCCCAAUACUGACACUGAGAAGCGAAAGCGUGGGGAUCAAACAGG